UACGGAGGGUGCAAGCGUUAUCCGGAUUCACUGGGUUUAAAGGGUGCGUAGGCGGGUUUGUAAGUCAGUGGUGAAAUCUUCGAGCUUAACUCGGAAACUGCCGUUGAUACUAUAGAUCUUGAAUAUUGUGGAGGUGAGCGGAAUAUGUCAUGUAGCGGUGAAAUGCUUAGAUAUGACAUAGAACACCGAUUGCGAAGGCAGCUUGCUACACAAUCAUUGACGCUGAGGCACGAAAGCGUGGGGAUCAAACAGG
Molecule: ribosomal RNA, 253 nt
Filed under: uncultured bacterium
Lineage: Bacteria
Description: partial 16S ribosomal RNA
Rfam family: Bacterial small subunit ribosomal RNA
Source: RNAcentral